UUAUCAUGGUAUUCACUUUUCAAUGUUUACCGGCAUAAAUGUAAUCGACGAGACGACGACCGUCAAUUUCAGCUUUUUUUACUUACUGCUUGAAAGUUGAACUGUGUUUGUGUUAUAAUUUAUAUUCUAUAGGUAGAUACAAUUAAACAAUGGUUAAUUUUUGCUGUGCUUUUCAUUACUCCGGUAUAAGUGACGUCAUAAAAGAAUUAAUAUUUCAAAAGCUUCCACUCAAUGAUGGUGAAGGUUAAAAAAAAAUGGGUACAUGCUGUCAGAUGGACAAAUUUCAAACCAAAUUGUGGUUCAUUUUUAUGCAGUCUACAUUUGUAAAUGAUAACAAUAAAGCAGUUGUAAAAGGUUAGGUUGCUGGUUUAGUUGCCAAAGGUGAAAGAAAGGCGAAUUCUGCAACGAUCUGUGGAAAUUCAAGAUGAAUUAAAACCAGUUCAAAGUACCUAGUACAAAUGUGCAUGCUUCAGAUGGCACAAAAAGGAUGUUUUGUUGAAACAAAACUAACUGGUGAAGAGUUGAAUAAUACAAUAUUUGAUUUACACCAAGAAAAGAAAAUACUGCAACAAAAACUUAUGAGAAGAGAUAAUCGAAUUAUGAUUUUAUAUGCCAAAAAAGUACACUACCUGAUCCGUCCACAAUCCGUAGGUGGUUGGCAACAGGACCCUGAACCCCUGAUGUUUUAUGUGAAGUCAUAGGAUAUUUUAAACACAAACUUAAAACUUGUGGCAACUGUAUCUUGGUGGUAUUGCUCAUACAGAUACUAGAAAUUUAGCUAAAGAAUCUUUAGUAUUCAUUAUUAGUAGUCUGAUAAAGAAAUUCAAGUGUUUAAAUUAUACUGUACAGAGUCAGUUGGUACUUGCCGUUAUUUCAAAUUGAUGAUGAAGUAUAUUGUAUUCAGCCAUCAGGACAAUGGACUGUUGAUAAAGAAGAAAAAUUUGCUUCCUCUUCUGAUUCAGAUUAAGAGAGAGAUACAAGACUACAUGUUGAUAUAAAACCAUUCAGCAAUGGGGCAGGCCCAAUCAGUGCAAGUGUUGAUGUAUUAAGAGCUACUGUUGAAAACAUAUCAUUAUUACCAUUAGGAACACAUACUUUAAAGUUUUUUAGAUCUAGGCGACUUGUUUUUUUAUGUUGGAGAUGCUCAAUAGUCCGCUCAAAAACAGGGCCCUCCAUCAACCACUUCUCCGGUGUGUUCUAUUUCUGUUCCUGGUCCUCCUUCACGGCAUGAGAACAAUGGACCUCGUAAUCAACUUAGUCCAAUAAGUAUUGGCAGAACAGAUAGUGUAUCAAGUAUUGAUUUUCAAUCGUCUGGAGUUAUAGGAUCUUGAGAUCCAUCUCUAUUAACUAUUAGAUUAUGUGAUUCUAUUACACUGGCUGUUGCUUUUCAUGAAAUAAUCCAUGCAUAUUUCAAAGGAUUAAAUGAAUAAAAAGGUAUUGCAAAUAAUCCGAAACGAGCGAAAUUAACGUUUCGAUUGAGGAAACACAUUGUUUACAUGGGUAAAAUAUAUUCUUCCGAACUAACAAUUAGUCUUAACGUAAGGAAAAAUUGUAUUAAAUAUAAAAAAUACAAGUGUUUUCAAUAUUUUUUUUUCAGUGAUAAUUUAUUCAAAAUUCUAAUUUAUAUAAAAUCCUAUUGCAUCUUAUUUUAAUAUUGAUAUUCUUAAAUAUCAAGUUAGUUAUAUUAAUGUCAUGAUAAUUAAUCGAACAUUUUUUAAUUUUUUAUUGUAUGUUUUAAGUAAAAUUGCUCAUUACUGCAGCCGCUUCAUGUUCGUUCCAAUUAGUUUCAUUUUACAAAUGUAGCAAUACUCAUACGGACCUUAAAAUUGGCUGCAAGUUUAAUAGUCACUUCAUGAGUGUUUCUUCACCUUUACUGAAUGUUACUGCUUCUACUAAUUUUAAUUUAGCUAUACAUAAUAUGCAGUCUAAGCCAACUGCUGAAUGGGCAUUUGAUACAAAAACAGUUAGUUGGAAGUUUGCAGAACUCGCUCAAUAUUCUGAAAGUCAAGGUUCCGGUUCACUAAAAGCAAGAUUUAAGAUUGACAGCUUAUGCCCAAUAUCAACCAUAGUAACUCAAUUCAACAAUACUACAUUAUCGGGACUAAAAUUUGAGCUAGCAAGUAGUGGUUAUAGAGUGUCAUUAAUCAAAAUAUGUUUCGUUGCUGGUAAGUAUGUAUGUGUAUUAUACCAGGUACAAAAAGCUCUACUCAACAUUCCACUGUGUCAUCAGAUUGUGAAUUAUCAGUUUAUUUAUUAUAUAUUUCCAUUUAUAUUUUUUAUUUUAUUUAAACUCGAGUAUUAUAAUCUCAAAAUAUCUUUUUUGUUGACUAUGUUUUUCUUCAUUAUUUUAGUUUAUAUUUAUUAUUUUGAUAAAAUAAUUGACACUUAAAACUAACUUCAGCUUUUAAAUAUUAUGUGAUUUUGCCUUAAUGCGGAAUUAUAAAAACUAUUAGUAAUUAUCAUGCUAUUAAAUAAAAUUGUCUGCUAGUAAUUUUACAGUAUUAUCUACCAUUUUUAAAUUAAACAUUUUUUUUAAAAAAAACCAAUGUAAUAAGAAUGAUUUUUAAUAUUUAUAUAAAUGAAUUGUAUUAAACUAUAUAAUAUUGUUUCCAUUUUAACAUAUUAUAUCUCUCUGACAAAGAAGACAUUUUAUUACUCAGCAUUAGUCAUUAGAAACAUAUUCUCAUACUAACCAUAAAUAAGCAAAGUAGUUGAAUUUAAAACUAAUUGUUUUUUAAGUUUAUUCAGGGAUAUCCAAAAAAUGCUAGCUUAUACAUCCAUUUUCAAAAUAAAUAAGUAUUUAUAAAAUAGUAUGCUGUACAUUUAUAAAUUAUACUUAUAUUAUGUUAUUCCAUAUAAAAUUAGCAAUAAUCAAAUUUUUCUUCUAGUUUACUAUUAUUUGUAAACCAAACAAAAUACAGUAGAUCUGAUUUUACAGUAUCUUUUUAUUAUUAUAUUAUUAUCAUAUUUUUUAUUGUUGUGAUAAAGUUAUCAAUAUUUAGGCUCUGUUUAUGCUUUCUUGUUAAACUAGUUAGGUUUUUGUAACAAAGUUGUAUGUUAUCGUUUAUUGGACUUGUGAUUAUAAUGUGGACUUACCGAUAUACCUUCUCAAACACCUGAUUUAAAAGUAAUUUGUUUGUUGGUAUUCUUAUUUUUGAUUACAAUAGUGUUAUAUAAGAUAAUUUGUACUUAGAAAUAAUAUUUAUUUGUUGCUCAAAAAAAAGUUAUUUGGUAAUAUUAUUAUAUUAUUAUUGUAUGUGAAGAUUACUAUUUUUUUAGAUUUAAUAUAUUGUAUAUAUAUAUAUAUAUAAUAUUAUUUAUUACAUAUACAAAUAUACC
RNA transcript from Metopolophium dirhodum (rose-grain aphid), 3339 nucleotides. It is a transcript of the gene named F-BAR domain only protein 2-like, with no coding region annotated. The record is from RefSeq and is a predicted model, not a curated record. The transcript is spliced from 10 exons. NCBI's taxonomy places the organism in Eukaryota, Metazoa, Arthropoda, Insecta, Hemiptera, Aphididae.